GUAGUACUCCCUCCGUCCGGAAAUAUUUGUCAUUAAAAUGAAUAAAAGGGGAUGUAUCUAGAUGUAUCUUAGUUCUACAUACAUCCCCUUUUGCCCAUUUUGAUGACAAGUAUUUUCGAAGGAAGGGAGUAUUGC
Non-coding RNA from Triticum aestivum (bread wheat), 135 nucleotides. The record is from Rfam. Lineage: Eukaryota; Viridiplantae; Streptophyta; Magnoliopsida; Poales; Poaceae.